GCGCAGGUGACGGAAUUGGUAGACGUCUGGCGUUGAGGGCGCCAGGUCCCGCUCGGGGCGUGAGGGUUCGAGUCCCUCCCUGCGCA
RNAcentral lists this transfer RNA (86 nucleotides) under Nannocystis radixulma. RNAcentral's name for it is "tRNA-Leu". It matches the Rfam family "tRNA". Rfam says of the family: Transfer RNA (tRNA) molecules are approximately 80 nucleotides in length. Their secondary structure includes four short double-helical elements and three loops (D, anti-codon, and T loops). The record is from RNAcentral. Lineage: Bacteria; Pseudomonadati; Myxococcota; Nannocystales; Nannocystaceae.